RNAcentral lists this ribosomal RNA (492 nucleotides) under uncultured bacterium. RNAcentral's name for it is "partial 16S ribosomal RNA". It matches the Rfam family "Bacterial small subunit ribosomal RNA", at positions 28 to 507 of the family's 1533-position model. The record is from RNAcentral.
GGCGAACGCUGGCGGCGUGCUUAACACAUGCAAGUGGAGCGACGAACCAGGGCUUGCCCUGGGGCAGAGCCGCGAACGGGUGAGUAACACGCGGGUAACGUGCCCCGAUGACUGGGACAACCCGGGGAAACCCGGGCUAAUACCGGAUGUGCCCCCUCACAUCAGUGAGGUGUGUAAAGGAAGCUUCGGCCUCCGCAUCGGGAUCGGCCCGCGGCCCAUUAGCUUGUUGGUGAGGUAACGGCUCACCAAGGCUGCGAUGGAUAGCUGGUCUGAGAGGACGAUCAGCCACACUGGAACUGAGACACGGCCCAGACUCCUACGGGAGGCAGCAGUGGGGAAUCUUGCGCAAUGCGCGAAAGCGUGACGCAGCAACGCCGCGUGGGGGAAGACGGCCUUCGGGUCGUAAACCCCUGUCAGUUGGGACGAAGGUCGGGCGGUUAACAGCCGUUCCGGCUGACGGUACCUUCACAAGAAGCCCCGGCUAACUACGUG